UUCGGUGGUUAUGGCGGAGGGGAAACACCCGGUCCCAUUCCGAACCCGGAAGUUAAGCCCUUCAGCGCCGAUGGUACUGCAUGGGAGACUGUGUGGGAGAGUAGGACACCGCCGGAC
Molecule: ribosomal RNA, 117 nt
Filed under: Actinomadura nitritigenes
Lineage: Bacteria; Bacillati; Actinomycetota; Actinomycetes; Streptosporangiales; Thermomonosporaceae
Also listed under: 4 other names
Source: RNAcentral